AAAGGGGCUUCGGCCCUGAGUAGAGUGGCGAACGGGUGAGUAACACGUGGGUGACCUACCUUCGAAUGGGGGAUAACGUUCCGAAAGGGACGCUAAUACCGCAUAACAUCCUGCCUUUGAACAGGUGGAGAUCAAAGCCGGGGAUCGCAAGACCUGGCGUUUGAAGAGGGGCCCGCGUCCGAUUAGCUAGUUGGUGAGGUAAUGGCUCACCAAGGCAACGAUCGGUAGCCGGCCUGAGGGGGCGGACGGCCACACUGGGACUGAGACACGGCCCAGACUCCUACGGGAGGCAGCAGUGGGGAAUUGUUCGCAAUGGGCGCAAGCCUGACGACGCAAUGCCGCGUGGAGGAUGAAGGUCUUCGGAUUGUAAACUCCUGUUGCCCGGGACGAACGUCUCCGACCUAACACGUCGGAGAGUGACGGUACCGGGUGAGGAAGCCCCGGCUAACUCUGUGCCAGCAGCCGCGGUAAUACAGAGGGGGCAAGCGUUGUUCGGAAUUACUGGGCGUAAAGGGCGCGUAGGCGGCCUGCUAAGUCGAACGUGAAAUCCCCGGGCUCAACCCGGGAACUGCGUUCGAUACUGGUAGGCUUGAAUUCGGGAGAGGGAUGCGGAAUUCCAGGUGUAGCGGUGAAAUGCGUAGAUAUCUGGAGGAACACCGGUGGCGAAGGCGGCAUCCUGGACCGACAUUGACGCUGAGGCGCGAAAGCCAGGGGAGCAAACGGGAUUAGAUACCCCGGUAGUCCUGGCCCUAAACGAUGAAUGCUUGGUGUGGCGGGUAUCGAUCCCUGCUGUG
RNAcentral lists this ribosomal RNA (794 nucleotides) under uncultured Acidobacteriota bacterium. Its description in RNAcentral is "bacterial SSU rRNA". It matches the Rfam family "Bacterial small subunit ribosomal RNA", at positions 71 to 845 of the family's 1533-position model. Lineage: Bacteria; Pseudomonadati; Acidobacteriota. The record is from RNAcentral.